GAGAAUGUUAUCACGGGAGACACACGGCGGGUGCUAACGUCCGUCGUGAAGAGGGAAACAACCCAGACCGCCAGCUAAGGUCCCAAAGUCAUGGUUAAGUGGGAAACGAUGUGGGAAGGCCCAGACAGCCAGGAUGUUGGCUUAGAAGCAGCCAUCAUUUAAAGAAAGCGUAAUAGCUCACUGGUCGAGUCGGCCUGCGCGGAAGAUGUAACGGGGCUAAACCAUGCACCGAAGCUGCGGCAGCGACACUAUGUGUUGUUGGGUAGGGGAGCGUUCUGUAAGCCUGUGAAGGUGGCCUGUGAGGGUUGCUGGAGGUAUCAGAAGUGCGAAUGCUGACAUAAGUAACGAUAAAGCGGGUGAAAAGCCCGCUCGCCGGAAGACCAAGGGUUCCUGUCCAACGUUAAUCGGGGCAGGGUGAGUCGACCCCUAAGGCGAGGCCGAAAGGCGUAGUCGAUGGGAAACAGGUUAAUAUUCCUGUACUUGGUGUUACUGCGAAGGGGGGACGGAGAAGGCUAUGUUGGCCGGGCGACGGUUGUCCCGGUUUAAGCGUGUAGGCUGGUUUUCCAGGCAAAUCCGGAAAAUCAAGGCUGAGGCGUGAUGACGAGGCACUACGGUGCUGAAGUGACAAAUGCCCUGCUUCCAGGAAAAGCCUCUAAGCAUCAGGUAACAUCAAAUCGUACCCCAAACCGACACAGGUGGUCAGGUAGAGAAUACCAAGGCGCUUGAGAGAACUCGGGUGAAGGAACUAGGCAAAAUGGUGCCGUAACUUCGGGAGAAGGCACGCUGAUAUGUAGGUGAAGCGACUUGCUCGUGGAGCUGAAAUCAGUCGAAGAUACCAGCUGGCUGCAACUGUUUAUUAAAAACACAGCACUGUGCAAACACGAAAGUGGACGUAUACGGUGUGACGCCUGCCCGGUGCCGGAAGGUUAAUUGAUGGGGUUA
This 942-nucleotide ribosomal RNA is filed under the name Escherichia coli. RNAcentral describes it as "partial 23S ribosomal RNA". It matches the Rfam family "Bacterial large subunit ribosomal RNA", at positions 965 to 1892 of the family's 2925-position model. The record is from RNAcentral. Lineage: Bacteria; Pseudomonadati; Pseudomonadota; Gammaproteobacteria; Enterobacterales; Enterobacteriaceae.